Molecule: non-coding RNA, 330 nt
Organism: Myodes glareolus (Bank vole)
Lineage: Eukaryota; Metazoa; Chordata; Mammalia; Rodentia; Cricetidae
Source: RefSeq, a predicted model, not a curated record
CUCAGCUCCACCAGGCGAGACUCGACUUUGACCAGCUUUUGAACCGCAUUCAGGCUGCCAACCUCAGCAUCUCCGAUGCAGACUCUGUAGACUUGAUUAAUCUUCUUACUAAGAUUGCACGCUUCUGCUCAGGAAGAAGAGAGUCGCCACACAGUCCACACAGUCAAGGAAACCCCACCCGAGGCCAAUGGGACUCGCCCCGCUGGGGAGACACCUCCUGGAACCACAAGUGCCUCAGAGAGCCGCCAUUGGCCAUUGCUUAAAGGCCUCAGGCUUCCAACAGCUUGUCGCUCUGCCUCCUGCUUUAAUAAAUGUUCUGAAGAUCCUGUU